Molecule: ribosomal RNA, 438 nt
Filed under: uncultured bacterium
Lineage: Bacteria
Description: bacterial SSU rRNA
Rfam family: Bacterial small subunit ribosomal RNA
Source: RNAcentral
GAACGGGUGAGUAAUGUAUCGGAACGUGCCCAGUUGUGGGGGAUAACUGCUCGAAAGAGCAGCUAAUACCGCAUACGACCUGAGGGUGAAAGCGGGGGAUCGCAAGACCUCGCGCAAUUGGAGCGGCCGAUAUCAGAUUAGGUAGUUGGUGGGGUAAAGGCUCACCAAGCCAACGAUUUGUAGCUGGUCUGAGAGGACGACCAGCCACACUGGGACUGAGACACGGCCCAGACUCCUACGGGAGGCAGCAGUGGGGAAUUUUGGACAAUGGACGCAAGUCUGAUCCAGCCAUGCCGCGUGCGGGAAGAAGGCCUUCGGGUUGUAAACCGCUUUUGUCAGGGAAGAAACGCUCUGGGUUAAUACCUCGGGGUAAUGACGGUACCUGAAGAAUAAGCACCGGCUAACUACGUGCCAGCAGCCGCGGUAAUACGUAGGGUG